GAUGAACGCUAGCUACAGGCUUAACACAUGCAAGUCGCAGGGUAACAUGAGGAAAGCUUGCUUUCCUUGAUGACGACUGGCGCACGGGUGAGUAACGCGUAUCCAACCUUCCCAUAACUACGGGAUAACCCGUUGAAAGACGGCCUAAUACCGUAUGAUAUCUUUUGCUGACAUCAAAUAACGAUUAAAGGUUUAGCGGUUAUGGAUGGGGAUGCGUCUGAUUAGCUUGUUGGCGGGGUAACGGCACACCAAGGCGACGAUCAGUAGGGGUUCUGAGAGGAAGGUCCCCGACAUUGGAACUGAGCCACGGUCCAAAGUCCUACGGGAGGCAGCAGUGCGGAAUAUUGGUCAAUGGGCGAGAGCCUGAACCAGCCAAGUAGCGUGCAGGACGACGGCCCUAGGGGUUGUAAACUGCUUUUAUGUGGGGAUAAAGUGCGUGACGUGUCAUGCAUUGCAGGUACCACAUGAAUAAGGACCGGCUAAUUCCGUG
RNAcentral lists this ribosomal RNA (490 nucleotides) under uncultured bacterium. RNAcentral's name for it is "partial 16S ribosomal RNA". It matches the Rfam family "Bacterial small subunit ribosomal RNA", at positions 28 to 507 of the family's 1533-position model. The record is from RNAcentral.